GACGAACGCUGGCGGCGUGCCUAAUACAUGCAAGUCGAACGCAUUUUCUUUCACCGUAGCUUGCUACACCGAAAGAAAAUGAGUGGCGAACGGGUGAGUAACACGUGGGUAACCUGCCCAUCAGCGGGGGAUAACACUUGGAAACAGGUGCUAAUACCGCAUAAUUCCAUUUACCGCAUGGUAAAUGGAUGAAAGGCGCUUUUGCGUCACUGAUGGAUGGACCCGCGGUGCAUUAGCUAGUUGGUGGGGUAACGGCCUACCAAGGCUGCGAUGCAUAGCCGACCUGAGAGGGUGAUCGGCCACACUGGGACUGAGGCACGGCCCAGACUCCUACGGGAGGCAGCAGUAGGGAAUCUUCGGCAAUGGACGCAAGUCUGACCGAGCAACGCCGCGUGAGUGAAGAAGGUUUUCGGAUCGUAAAACUCUGUUGUUAGAGAAGAACAAGGAUGAGAGUGGAAAGUUCAUCCCUUGACGGUAUCUAACCAGAAAGCCACGGCUAACUACGUG
This 507-nucleotide ribosomal RNA is filed under the name uncultured bacterium. RNAcentral's name for it is "partial 16S ribosomal RNA". It matches the Rfam family "Bacterial small subunit ribosomal RNA", at positions 28 to 507 of the family's 1533-position model. The record is from RNAcentral.